AUGCCUCUUAGGUCUCUUCUCUGAGCUAUACCCAAAGUACCAUCUGCUGCCCCUUCCUGCAGCUGUCCACAGGCUCUGCUCUGACAGCCAAAGCUCAGGGAAGAAGACCUUUAUGACUCUUCUAGGAUUGGGCUAGACAGAUUGUCAUUAAGUAGGGAGUAUGUAGGCAAGGUUUUAAAGAAGCAGGCCUCCCAAGUGGCCUGUUCUGCCCUACAAGCAUUUUCUCUGGACCCAGUCACUCCCUGGAAGUCCAGUGUGAAAAUGAAGACCACAGUGUCAAUUUCCGUGAGGGAGGGAAGGAUGGAAGUCAGCAAGUCCUCCUGGGAGAAGGUGAACUGGGGACCCUGGGGCAGAAGAAGAUGGGAGGAUCCCUCCCAUGAAAACACUCUAAAGUACAGACUUGAGGACUAAAGGGGGCCGUGGAGGAGAUCUAACACUUUUGUAUACAGAUGAAAGAGCUGAGGUUCAAAAGCCUCCCCCAGGGCUGCCCAGUCAUUCCAGAAGGCUCACCUGGCCAUGCUCACUGGAUUGAAGCCAACCAGGACUGGC
Pongo pygmaeus (Bornean orangutan) is the source of this 549-nucleotide long non-coding RNA. RefSeq lists it as uncharacterized. The transcript has 3 exons. The record is from RefSeq and is a predicted model, not a curated record. Lineage: Eukaryota; Metazoa; Chordata; Mammalia; Primates; Hominidae.